This 1119-nucleotide ribosomal RNA is filed under the name Triticum aestivum (bread wheat). RNAcentral describes it as "partial small subunit ribosomal RNA". The record is from RNAcentral. Lineage: Eukaryota; Viridiplantae; Streptophyta; Magnoliopsida; Poales; Poaceae.
AUGGACCAGGAGAGCAGCAUGGGCGCCGGGCACCUGCAGGAGGAGGAGGCGCCGGCGGCCAUGGCGAAGUCGACGAAGAGGAGGGGCAAGCAGCAGAGGAGGGAGGGGGGAGGGGCGAGGAAGAGGAGGCAGCAGCAGGAGCAGCAGGAGUACCGGCUGGUGAGCUACGAGGAGCUGCCGGAGUACAUGAAGGAGAACGAGUUCAUCCUCAACCACUACCGCUCCGAGUGGCCGCUGCUGCACGCCUUCCUCAGCGUCUUCUCCUGGCACAACGAGACCAUCAACAUCUGGACGCACCUCCUGGGCUUCUUCUUGUUCUUGGGCCUCACCCUCUGGCACCUCGCCCAGUACUUCCCCCAGGUCGCCCACCUCAUCGGCCACCUCUCCUGGCCCAUCUCCAAGGUUGCAGAGAACGUCUCCAGCAACAUAGGCGAUGUCCUCUCCGGCGCGGCGUCGUUCAUGCAGGCGAGCCCGGGGCUGGCGAUGGCGGCGGCAGCGGGGGCGGGGCCGACGACGCGGUGGCCCUUCUUCGUGUUCCUGGCGGGGGCCAUGUUCUGCCUGAUGAGCAGCUGCGCGUGCCACCUGCUGUCCUGCCACUCGCACCGCCUCAACCUCUUCCUCAUCCGCCUCGACUACACCGGCAUCGCCGUCAUGAUCGUCGUCUCCUUCUUCCCGCCCAUCUACUACAUCUUCCAGUGCGAGCCGCGCUGGCAGCUCGCCUACCUCUCCGCCAUCUCGCUCGCCGGCGCCGCCACCGUCUACGCGCUCAUGUCGCCCCGCCUCAGCGACGCCAAGUACCGCGCCCACCGCGCGCUGCUCUUCGUCGGGAUGGGCCUGUCGGGCGUGGUGCCGGCCGUGCACGCCGCCGCGGUGAACUGGCACGAGCCGCGCCGGAACGUCACGCUGGCGUACGAGGGCGCCAUGGCCGCCUCGUACCUCGUCGGCACCGCGUUCUACCUCACCCGCGUGCCCGAGCGGUGGAGGCCCGGGAUGUUCGACCUGUGCGGCCAGAGCCAUCAGAUAUUCCACCUGCUUGUCAUCGCCGGCGCGCUCGCGCACUACGGCGCCGCCAUCGUCUUCCUCAGGGUCCGUGACGAGAUGGGCUGCCCGGCCAACUGA